UACGUAGGGUGCAAGCGUUGUCCGGAAUUAUUGGGCGUAAAGAGCUCGUAGGCGGUUCGUCGCGUCGGCUGUGAAAUCCCGGAGCUCAACUCCGGGUCUGCAGUCGAUACGGGCGGACUCGAGUUCGGCAGGGGAGACUGGAAUUCCUGGUGUAGCGGUGAAAUGCGCAGAUAUUAGGAGGAACACCGGUGGCGAAGGCGGGUCUCUGGGCCGAUACUGACGCUGAGGAGCGAAAGCGUGGGGAGCGAACAGG
This 253-nucleotide ribosomal RNA is filed under the name uncultured bacterium. RNAcentral's name for it is "partial 16S ribosomal RNA". It matches the Rfam family "Bacterial small subunit ribosomal RNA", at positions 524 to 776 of the family's 1533-position model. The record is from RNAcentral.